GACGAACGCUGGCGGCGUGCUUAACACAUGCAAGUCGAACGGAAAGGCCCUGCUUUUGUGGUGUGCUCGUGUGGCGAACGUGUGAGUAACACGUGAGUAACCUGCCCUUGACUUUGGGAUAACUUCAGGAAAAUGGGGCUCAUACCGGAUAGGAGCUCCUGCUGAAUGGUGGGGGUUGGAAAGUUUCGGCGGUUGGGGAUGGACUCGCGGCGUAUCAGCUUGUUGGUGGGGUAGUGGCUUACCAAGGCUCUGACGGGUAGCCGGCCUGAGAGGGUGACCGGCCACAUUGGGACUGGGAUACGGCCCAGACGCCAACGGGAGGCAGCGGUGGAGAAGAGUGCACAAUGGGCGGAAGCCUGAUGCAACGACGCCGCGUGCGGGAUAACGGCAUUCGGGUUGUAAACCGCUUUCGCCUGAGACGAGGCGUUAGUGACGGUAAUGGGUAAAGAAGCACCGGCUAACUACGUG
This 468-nucleotide ribosomal RNA is filed under the name uncultured bacterium. RNAcentral's name for it is "partial 16S ribosomal RNA". It matches the Rfam family "Bacterial small subunit ribosomal RNA", at positions 28 to 507 of the family's 1533-position model. The record is from RNAcentral.